This 75-nucleotide transfer RNA is filed under the name Pseudonocardiaceae bacterium. Its description in RNAcentral is "tRNA-Leu". It matches the Rfam family "tRNA". From Rfam's summary of the family: Transfer RNA (tRNA) molecules are approximately 80 nucleotides in length. The record is from RNAcentral. Lineage: Bacteria; Bacillati; Actinomycetota; Actinomycetes; Pseudonocardiales; Pseudonocardiaceae.
GCCGGCGUAGCCCAACUUGGCAGAGGCCCGGGUCCUAGGAACCCGUCAGUGUGGGUUCGAAUCCCACCGCCGGCA